CUCACUUACAAUACAUUCAUCUGUCAUUCAGUUGAUGCUUAGACGGACAGCAUGGAGGUUACCGCUCUCUGCGUCAGACUGUGGUCGGUCUGCGUUUCCUCAAAGACGUCACAGCCAAGAUUACACUCAGGUGAAACAGAAACAGUGUCUGGACUGACGAGUGUAG
Molecule: long non-coding RNA, 166 nt
Organism: Micropterus dolomieu (smallmouth bass)
Lineage: Eukaryota; Metazoa; Chordata; Actinopteri; Centrarchiformes; Centrarchidae
Exons: 3
Source: RefSeq, a predicted model, not a curated record